This 3038-nucleotide long non-coding RNA is filed under the name Gallus gallus (chicken). Lineage: Eukaryota; Metazoa; Chordata; Aves; Galliformes; Phasianidae. The record is from RNAcentral.
CCAUCAAGGUUACAUGACAGUAAGGAACUUCAGUAGUUUUUAUUCGGUGUAGGCUUUGAAAGAUGCAUUUUGUGAAGCUGCUGCAUGCCCUUCUCGUAGGUGUGUGGGGUUUGAUUUUUUUUUUUUUAAUUCUGCUUUAAGUUCUGUAGUAAAGCAAAGUAUCCCUGUCUUCUGUAGGUUCUAAACACUUUUAUUUAAUGGCUGUGUUACUGAUUUUGGUACUCUAUUCUAAAGGCACAUAAGCUUCCUGUAUUGUUCUGAUACUACUGAAUGGCUGUAGAAUUAGACUACAGCAGUACAGCUACAUAGAAACUGAAGUUCACACAGAGUAUGUGACACUACUUACAGUACUUACUAAAAUGGUGGCAGAGUUCUGGAAAAACUAAAGCUCUAAAAUCCCGUGUCAACGAACAGACAGCGUUAACCACUGUGUAUGUUGUACAGUUUUACCAUAGUUGCAGAAAGGCUGGAAAGAUUCUUGGAGCAUGGGAAGACUGUGGCCCCACUUCAGACACCGAGGACAGCUGCUGGUGUUUUGUUCAGGUAUCUUAAAUGGAUUACGCAAGUAAAGCAGUUAAGUCAGAAGGGACCUACAAAGCUCAUCAACUGCCUGACCACUUUCAGGCUAACCAAAAGUUAAAGCAUACUCUCAGGAUGUUGUCAGAUGCCUCUUGCCUCACACCUGGCAAUGUUCAUCAACCACCUCACUGGGAAUCCUGUCCCAGUGUCUGACUACCUUCAUGGUAAAAAUUUGUCUUAAUAUCCCACUUGAGGUUCCCCCUGGGCCUGGUACAGCUUUGUGCUGUUCCUGCACAUGGUGAUACGGGUUUCAAGGUAGAAGAAAAAGCACCUCCUUCUGUUUCUUCUCAGGAUGCUGCAUAGAGCAGCAAGGUUAUGUCUUGGCCUCCUUUUCUCCAGACGAGGCAAAUCCAGAUGCCCUGCAGCUCCUCUUCCUGGACACACUUCCAGCUCUACCAGCUUUGCUGCCCUCUGGACAUUUUAAAGGACCCUAACAUUAUUUUUUUUAAUGUUGUGGAGCCCAGAACUGUAUACAGUGUUCCAGGUGAGGCCACACCAACACUGAAGUGGAAGAAAUCACUGCUUACAAGUGGCUGGCUGUGCCUGUUUAAUGUGUGGGUUUUAAUACACCCCAUGAUGCAGUUCGUGCUCUUGGCUGCCAGGACACAUUGCUCGUGAGCACACUGGCAUUUGGCACAACUGAGUUCCCUCGUGCCAAGCUGCCCUUCAGCCACUUGUCUCCCACCAUGUAACUGUGUGCAGCAUUGCUCUGUCCCACAUGUGGUACGUGGCAUUUUCCCUUGAACUUGAAGUAGAUGAUUGUCCAAUGCUCCCGUGUAUUUAGAUGUCUGCCAGGCCUCUCAUCACUCAAGGGAGUCAGCUUUGUAGCAUAAGAUAAUGGAUAAAACUACAGUACUGACUAAAGGUUUGUAAUUUACUGCUGUAAAUUGAAAGCUACUAGAAAAUCUGGGGCAUCCAGAUCCCCCAACAACAGUUAAGAAGCUGAACCAUCAACUGAGUAUGUUCAGUUUCUUAUACUUUAUUUCUUCAUCCAGAAACAACCACUUCUCUCUCCUACUGCUUUUUGUUAAGUAAUUACUGUUUUUUUCUACCCCCUCCCCACACUCUUUCAUCAUGCUAACUUUGGCACAUGACAGAAUAGCAGCAUGAAUUUCAAAUGUAACUAGUCUAACAAAAAUUAGGUAACAGCAUGUCAGCAUCUGGUAACAUGCAGGAAGACUUGACCAAGCCAAACUACUGCUCUUCUAUGCAGAAAAUACUUCUGAGUGGCAGCUUUCAUCGCUUACUGAAGAACAGCUCUGAGAACCUCAAGCUUCACUCCCUCACACGUUUCCCCAGAAGUGACUAAGAACUGAGCACAGAGGGACGUAGCUCCCCUGAUUAAUUUUUCAAGCCUCAUUUGUAUCAAGUCAUUGAUUGAGAUUCGUACUUGCCUUAAGCUGUUUAUAAGAAACAAUCAUUUAUACAAGCAAAACCUCUGAUUUUAUCUCCAAUUCAUUUUUUAGCUUGGUCUUCCAGCAAAUCUUUAGCUUCAUUGAUUUUGGCUGCUACAUAUGGAGAACCACCUUUAUCUGGAUGAUUCAGAAGCAUGAUUCGUCUAUGAGCUUCUCUAAUUUUACUUCUGUUGGCUGUAGGGCUCACUCCUAGUAUUAGGGCUGCUUCUCGUUUAGUCAUUUUGGGUUCAAAUCCACCUCUGUAAUAACCACUGAAGUCCGCUUUGGGCAGGUUCUGCAGCACUUGCUUCAUCUGGGGCUCCAUUUGCUUCAUGGCUCUCAGCGCAUAACGACCUGCGAAGCCCGCCGCCGCGAUGGUCAGCCCGACCGCCACCAUGGUCCCGGCCAUGGCCCCGGCUGCCCGGCCCCGCACUGCCCAGCGCCGGCCGGAGCGCGCGGAGGCCGCGGCACGGCACGGCACGGCACGGCACGGCACGACAGCUGCCGUAAAGCGAGGCGGGGCGGGGCCGCCGCGUGCUUCGCUGCGGAACGCCUCUGCGCUCCUUCGUUAUGCAGAUCGGUGACGGUGUGCCCGACGUUGUGACGGCACGCGUCUGUGUUUGGAAAUGCUCUUUGCUCUCCCAUCCUCGCCCCGUCCCGCUGCUCGUUUUUCCCCCCCGUGCUCCUGUGCCGACACAUCACCGCAGACUCGGCACGCUUCGCCCCGGUGGGGCCUCCCCUGCGCUGCCACGUGCUCUUCCCGACGGACUGCCUCGGUAUUCCAUUGCUGAAGGCUGCUACAAAGCGAGGGGGAGUUACGGCUCUGGCACUCGUGUUGGAGUGCCGUCAGUAGCGCGGUGCCUCCGCUCGUCCUGCGUUGGCCCCCGAUGGCGGUGGGAUGGCAGCAGGGGUCGAACCUUCCCAGUGCUCCGCUGCGCGCGGCUGCCGUGCGAUGGACGGCGGCAGAGGGGCGGUCGGACAAAAUGGUGUCUGGCGCGGAAGCGCGUGAAGCAAACGUGCGUCACUGAACUCCUCCUCCGUGAGGGUCCGAUGGCGCUCGCUGAC